RNAcentral lists this ribosomal RNA (407 nucleotides) under uncultured bacterium. RNAcentral's name for it is "partial 16S ribosomal RNA". It matches the Rfam family "Bacterial small subunit ribosomal RNA", at positions 28 to 526 of the family's 1533-position model. The record is from RNAcentral.
GACGAACGCUGGCGGCGGGCCUAAUACAUGCAAGUAGAACGCAGUUGCGAACGGGUGAGUAACGCGUAGGUAACUGCCUCAUAGCGGGGGAUAACUAUUGGAAACGAUAGCUAAUACCGCAUAAUGUGAGAUGGACCUGCGUUUUAUUUGCGAGUUGGGGGGGUAAAGGCUCACCAAGGCGACGAUACAUGGCCGGCCUGAGAGGGUGAUCGGCCACACGUGGACUGAGACACUGCCCCGACGUCCACGGGAGGCAGCAGUAGGGGAUCUUUGGCCAUGGGCGGAAGUCUGGCCGCGCAACGCCGCGUGAGUGAAGAAGGUUCUCCGGUUGUAAAGCUCCGUUGUUAGAGAAGCGGUAACUACCCAGAAAGGGCCGGCUAACUACGUGCCAGCAGCCGCGGUAAUAC